AGAGCCCCCAGGAUACGAUACUUCUCGAGUGCUGUGCCUCUGAAGGUUGCCGUAUUGAGGACCAAGUCUUCAACAUACGAGCUUUUGGGAGAUGUUCAGCUCCACACCACAUGGGUGUGUUUGCAGAAAUGAUUGCAAGAGAAACAAGUUGAAACGAGCUCACUCAUUUGUUUCUGCCCAGAGGGCUGUUUGGACCUUCCCAGGACACAGUGAUUUUCUUGAUCCUAUGAGGAAUUUGGUGCAUGCUUGCACUUGAAUAAACAAAUGAAUGUAUGGAUGGAUGAACAAAAAAGAUCUUAUCAAGAAUUAUAUACAAUUGCUUAAGGAAUUGCUAAAGGAAUGCAGGUAUCAGGUGGAUGACAGAUAAGGGAGAGUUGAUGCUAGGCUGUGCCUGCUGAACACUGAGGGAGUGGAACAUGACCUGUAUUGACAUUGCCUGAGGAGGAAGCAUUUGAAACAGGGAAAACAGCACUGUAUUCUUACCACACUCUUCCAGCUGAAGGAAGAAAGGAAGAUUUGUGCUGAGGGGAUGACAAGAAUGAGAGGAAGACUUCAAGGAGGCUCCAGACAAAGCUAGAAGCCAAUACAGAUUUUCUGGGUCUGAGCAAAGUUAGACUAUUUCCAGAAGAGUGGAAGAAGAGAGAAAUGAGCUAUGUAUCUCCACCCACAAGCAACCUCAGGCAUUUUUUUUCUUCAUGAACUCUAUAAGUUACUUUCUUUUAUCAUGCCAAUAUGUUGUCAAUCUGACAAUUUUCCCUGCUAGGAAAAGUUUAAGUCCGUGAGAGAGUGCUGAAAUAACUAAAUGAUGCUCUGAUGUUCAAAAUAAUGUCAAUAUGGAAACAGACAGCACACUACCUAUGGCUGGUUGAGCUGCUUGAAUUGACGAAGAUCCUGGUGCCCUCUGAGGAAAAAUAAAAUCUGUUUUGGAUUCCAGGCCACAUAAGCCAAGGAUAACAGAGAUGCAUGUUUCAAGAUGCUUCCAUGGCACUGUCUUAACCUCCUUAAGGACUUGCGAAGUACUAUUUGAUAGUGUAGAGUAAUGCAGAAUAAUAAAGAU
This is a non-coding RNA of Peromyscus maniculatus bairdii (prairie deer mouse), 1057 nucleotides long. The record is from RefSeq and is a predicted model, not a curated record. NCBI's taxonomy places the organism in Eukaryota, Metazoa, Chordata, Mammalia, Rodentia, Cricetidae.